Molecule: ribosomal RNA, 1295 nt
Filed under: Lactarius sp. 2D10
Lineage: Eukaryota; Fungi; Basidiomycota; Agaricomycetes; Russulales; Russulaceae
Description: eukaryotic LSU rRNA
Rfam family: Eukaryotic large subunit ribosomal RNA (bases 657-1295)
Source: RNAcentral
AGGAUCAUUAUUGUACCAAAAUGUGAUGGGCGCGCUUGGGCUGUCGCUGACUCAAAAGAUCGUGCACGCCCAGGUGACAACCCUCGCAUUAACAAUCCAUCUCACCCUCUGUGCAUCACCGCGUGGGUUCCCUUCUCGGAGGGGGCUCGCGUUUUCACACACAAACCCCCUUUUAAAAAGUGUAGAAUGACCUCAUGUAUGCGUUAACCCGCAAUCAAUACAACUUUCAACAACGGAUCUCUUGGCUCUCGCAUCGAUGAAGAACGCAGCGAAAUGCGAUACGUAAUGUGAAUUGCAGAAUUCAGUGAAUCAUCGAAUCUUUGAACGCACCUUGCGCCCCUUGGUAUUCCGAGGGGCACACCCGUUUGAGUGUCGUGAAAGCCUCAACCUCCUUGGUUUCUUCUGGAGACCAAAGCAGGCUUGGACUUUGGAGGCCUUUGCUGGCACCUCUCUUUUUGAAGGCCAGCUCCUCUUAAACAAAUUAGCAGGGUCCUCUUUGCUGAUCCUCGACGUGUGAUAAGAUGUUUCCAUGUCUUGGUUUCUGGCUCUGUCACUUUUUGGGACCUGCUUCUAACCGUCUGGACCUUGCGUCGAGAGACAACGUUCGAGCAUGCGUGCCUCCCUUCCCGGGAAGCUCCCUCGACCCCACGACCCCUUGACCUCAAAUUGGGUGAGACUACCCGCUGAACUUAAGCAUAUCAAUAAGCGGAGGAAAAGAAACUAACAAGGAUUCCCCUAGUAACUGCGAGUGAAGCGGGAAAAGCUCAAAUUUAAAAUCUGGUGGCCUUUGUCCAUCCGAGUUGUAAUUUAGAGAAGCGUCUUCCGCGCUGGACCGUGCACAAGUCUCCUGGAAUGGAGCGUCAUAGAGGGUGAGAAUCCCGUCUUUGGCACGGAUGUUGGUGCUUCUGUGAUGCGCUCUCGAAGAGUCGAGUUGUUUGGGAAUGCAGCUCAAAAUGGGUGGUGAACUCCAUCUAAAGCUAAAUAUUGGCGAGAGACCGAUAGCGAACAAGUACCGUGAGGGAAAGAUGAAAAGCACUUUGGAAAGAGAGUGAAACAGUACGUGAAAUUGUUGAAAGGGAAACGCUUGAAGUCAGUCGCGUUGACCAAGACUCAGCCUUGCCUUGGCUUGGUGUACUUCUUGGCUCGACGGGCCAGCAUCAAUUUUGUCUCUCGGAUAAUGGCAGGGGAAAGGUGGCACCUUUACGGGUGUGUUAUAGUCUCUUGUCGCAUGCGAGGGGUGGGAUUGAGGAACUCAGCACGCACCUCGGUGUCGGGGCUUUAGCCCACGUAACGUG